UACGUAGGGUGCAAGCGUUGUCCGGAAUCAUUGGGCGUAAAGCGCGUGUAGGCGGCUCGAUAAGUCUGCUGUGAAAGUCCAGGGCUCAACCCUGGGAUGCCGGUGGAUACUGUCGAGCUCGAGUCCGGAAGAGGAGUGUGGAAUUCCUGGUGUAGCGGUGAAAUGCGCAGAUAUCAGGAGGAACACCAAUGGCGAAGGCAGCACUCUGGGACGUGACUGACGCUGAGACGCGAAAGCGUGGGGAGCAAACAGG
RNAcentral lists this ribosomal RNA (253 nucleotides) under uncultured bacterium. RNAcentral describes it as "partial 16S ribosomal RNA". It matches the Rfam family "Bacterial small subunit ribosomal RNA", at positions 524 to 776 of the family's 1533-position model. The record is from RNAcentral.